UAUGGUUUCUGGCUACAUAAAUCCAGGCAGAUAUGUCUUUCCCUGAAACCCCAAACUGUGAAGUUUCUUUCAGGUACUGCCUGGGACUUAUGCAGCCAGAAACAAAAAACGCUUACACUGGAGGGUGAGGAGAAAAACAAAAGCAAAAAUCACUGCAACAGGGUUGUAUAAAGGUUCAAACACAGUUUUUCUCCACAAGACUCAACUGAACUGACUGAGAUAACACACAGGUUCUUCACUGGAUUCUCUGGGUUAAGUCUUGCCAGAUUUUUUGGAUUAGGUUAAAUUGCAGUGACUCUGCACCAAAAACCUGAAGCCAUGAAGCUCAAUAAGCUGUGCUGCAAAACCUGGUGCACUCUGUGAGUCCCUGCCUGUACCUGUUCAGGUGUUCACCUACUGUGUUGUCAGUGCUUCCUGUCAGAGCGGGGGGGUGACAGCUCCAAAGAGGUGGAGUUGAACACCAUGGAGGCAUUUUGAAGAAGAUGGACAGUACCAAGGCAGAGCUGUUUAGAGAUGGCAGAUAGAAACUAAAGCCCUCACAGCUAAAGGUGUCUGACCACAACAAUCUUGGUGUUUUGGGUUUUUUUUUGUUUUGUCUGGUUUUGUUUUUUCCUAUGACAGCAGCUGUCCUCAAUCAUUCCUGCUGUUUGCAGGCAGUAAAAAAAUCACACUGGGGAUUUCUUCUGGGAACAGUGAUCCACUUCCUAAUGGGAAUCAAUGACGAGCUGUGCGAGGCCUGGUGCAUCUUCACCCCCCCUCCUGCACCAGAUCGAGCAGCGCUGCGAGCCCGCCAUCCCCUCUCCCCCUAGGUGAGAAGGGGGCACCUGCGAGGGCUGGGGGCACCUGAGGAUGCUGGGGGGCACCUGAGGGGGCUGGGGGGGCACCUGGAGGGAGAUACAGGGUGGUGUGGGGGGUGGGGAGUGCACCUGGAGGUACCUGGAUGGUAUCUGUUUCUGGGGAUGUCUGGGGCGCCUUAGGGGAAACCUGGGGGGGCAACGGGGGGUACUUGGUGCAGGAGUAUAGCCC
This 1026-nucleotide long non-coding RNA is filed under the name Ficedula albicollis (Collared flycatcher). Its description in RNAcentral is "lncRNA (ENSFALG00000008127.2)". Lineage: Eukaryota; Metazoa; Chordata; Aves; Passeriformes; Muscicapidae. The record is from RNAcentral.